AGCCUUCGGUGAAACUGAAGCCUAGACAGCUUCAGAGUUUGUCCAAAUCCCCCAUUUUAAGUAGGAGAAUUAGAAACUGGGUGUUAGCCUUUCUUGGGUCCCCUCAGCCCUCUUGAAAGAUGUAACUUUGAUCUUUGGAUCUUUCUCAGCUCAGAGGAGUCCACAGAGAAGGGGCCUCCAGGUCAGCAGCAGGCGAAGGUCCAGCCACAGACUCGGAUGACAGCACCAAAGCAGACACAGACACCGGAGCUGUUGCCUGAGCCACCAGGAGCCCAAGGGCUUCUGCAGAUCCAGACCCAGGUGCAGCCACAGACUCAGCUACAGCUGCCUCCGGGGGACACCCAUGUGCAGCCACAGCUGCAGAAGCAGGCCCAGACACAGACCUCUCCAGAGCACUUAGCGCCUCAGCAGAAACACACGCAGCCACAGGUAUACACCCAAGCACAACCACAGGAACAGCCUUCAGGACAGGAGACAGAGCAGACACCAGAGCAGACUCAGGGCCAGCCUCAGACCCAGCUGCAGGGGUCAACAUCUGUACCAGAGCAAAUGGGAAUUCCAGCCCAUGCCAUGGAAGCGGAGACACCAGAAGCCAGGGGAGGGCUGGAGGAGGCCUCGCCAGAACCUGUGGGUGCCCAGGUCAGCAAGGACAUGAGCCGGGAGGAGUCAGCCGGUGGCUUGGAUGUGGGAGAGUGUGAAAAAAGAGCGAGAGAGAUGCUUGGGAUGUGGGGUGCCGGGGGCUCCCUGAAGGUCACCAUCCUGCAGAGCAGCAACAGCCGGGCCUUUAGCACCAUACCCCUCGCACCUGGACCACGCUCCGGAGACUCUAGCUCUGCCCCUUCCGGCACUGCCAGCACACCUGCCAGGCAGACCCUCCAGUUCUUUUGCUAUAUCUGCAAGGCCAGCUGCAGCAACCAGCAGGUGCUUAGCCCAAGAGGAGGGCUGGGAUCUGCAGGCCGUCCUGGGCCUGCCCUUUCUACACUGCCCAGAAGCUGCACAGG
This 1001-nucleotide long non-coding RNA is filed under the name Nannospalax galili (Upper Galilee mountains blind mole rat). RNAcentral's name for it is "lncRNA (ENSNGAG00000024483.1)". The record is from RNAcentral. Lineage: Eukaryota; Metazoa; Chordata; Mammalia; Rodentia; Spalacidae.